This 72-nucleotide transfer RNA is filed under the name Camelus ferus (Wild Bactrian camel). It matches the Rfam family "tRNA". Rfam says of the family: Transfer RNA (tRNA) molecules are approximately 80 nucleotides in length. Their secondary structure includes four short double-helical elements and three loops (D, anti-codon, and T loops). Lineage: Eukaryota; Metazoa; Chordata; Mammalia; Artiodactyla; Camelidae. The record is from Rfam by way of RNAcentral.
GGGGUUAUAGCUCAGUGAUAGAGUGCAUGCUUAGCACGCAAGAGGUUCUGGGUUCAACCCCCAGUACCUCCA